This 379-nucleotide unclassified non-coding RNA is filed under the name uncultured Gammaproteobacteria bacterium. Its description in RNAcentral is "contains 16S-23S intergenic spacer region". The record is from RNAcentral. Lineage: Bacteria; Pseudomonadati; Pseudomonadota; Gammaproteobacteria.
UCCGGUUUGUCACCGGCAGUCUCCUUAGAGUUCCCACCAUUACGUGCUGGCAACUAAGGACAAGGGUUGCGCUCGUUGCGGGACUUAACCCAACAUCUCACGACACGAGCUGACGACAGCCAUGCAGCACCUGUGUACUGGUUCCCUUUCGGGCACUCCCUGAUCUCUCGAGGAUUCCAGCCAUGUCAAGGGUAGGUAAGGUUUUUCGCGUUGCAUCGAAUUAAUCCACAUCAUCCACCGCUUGUGCGGGUCCCCGUCAAUUCCUUUGAGUUUUAAUCUUGCGACCGUACUCCCCAGGCGGUCUACUUCACGCGUUAGCUGCGUUACCAAGUCAAUUAAGACCCGACAACUAGUAGACAUCGUUUAGGGCGUGGACUAC